Molecule: ribosomal RNA, 253 nt
Filed under: uncultured bacterium
Lineage: Bacteria
Description: partial 16S ribosomal RNA
Rfam family: Bacterial small subunit ribosomal RNA
Source: RNAcentral
UACAGAGGGGGCAAGCGUUAUUCGGAAUUAUUGGGCGUAAAGGGCGCGUAGGCGGCCUGGCAAGUGGAAGGUGAAAUCCCUCGGCUUAACCGAGGAACUGCCCUCCAAACUGCUUGGCUUGAGUCCGGGAGAGGUGAGUGGAAUUCCCAGUGUAGCGGUGAAAUGCGUAGAUAUUGGGAGGAACACCAGUGGCGAAGGCGGCUCACUGGACCAGAACUGACGCUGAGGCGCGAAAGCGUGGGGAGCAAACGGG